GUUUGAUUAUGGCUCAGGAUGAACGCUAGCUACAGGCUUAACACAUGCAAGUCGAGGGGCAGCAUUAUCGAAGCUUGCUUUGAUAGAUGGCGACCGGCGCACGGGUGAGUAACGCGUAUCCAACCUUCCCCAUAGUAGGGCAUAGCCCGUAGAAAUGCGGAUUAAUACCCUAUGUAUUCCGAGGAUGACAUCUGAUUCGGAACAAAGGUUCACCGCUAUGGGAUGGGGGAUGCGUCUGAUUAGGUAGUAGGCGGGGUAACGGCCCACCUAGCCGACGAUCAGUAGGGGUUCUGAGAGGAAGGUCCCCCACAUUGGAACUGAGACACGGUCCAAACUCCUACGGGAGGCAGCAGUGAGGAAUAUUGGUCAAUGGGCGAGAGCCUGAACCAGCCAAGUAGCGUGCAGGAUGACGGCCCUAUGGGUUGUAAACUGCUUUUAUACAGGGAUAAAGUCGGGGACGCGUUCCCCGUUUGCAGGUACUGUAUGAAUAAGGACCGGCUAAUUCCGUGCCAGCAGCAGC
This 520-nucleotide ribosomal RNA is filed under the name uncultured bacterium. RNAcentral's name for it is "bacterial SSU rRNA". It matches the Rfam family "Bacterial small subunit ribosomal RNA", at positions 11 to 518 of the family's 1533-position model. The record is from RNAcentral.